This 379-nucleotide RNase P RNA is filed under the name Deltaproteobacteria bacterium. RNAcentral describes it as "RNase P RNA component class A". It matches the Rfam family "Bacterial RNase P class A". From Rfam's summary of the family: Ribonuclease P (RNase P) is a ubiquitous endoribonuclease, found in archaea, bacteria and eukarya as well as chloroplasts and mitochondria. Its best characterised activity is the generation of mature 5'-ends of tRNAs by cleaving the 5'-leader elements of precursor-tRNAs. Lineage: Bacteria; Pseudomonadati; Myxococcota; Myxococcia. The record is from RNAcentral.
CGGGUCGAUCGGGCAACCGCCGGGAGAAAUCCGGGAGGAAAGUCCGGGCACCGCAGGGCAAGGCGCUGGAUAACGUCCAGCGGGGGAAACCCCGGGAAAGCGUAACAGAGAGGAGACCGCCGGAAAAGGUUUUUCCUUUUCAGGUAAGGGUGAAAGGGUGAGGUAAGAGCUCACCGGCCGUUCGGGAGACCGGACGGGCCAGACAAGCCCCGCCCGGUGAAAGAUCGAACAGGAAACGACAGGGCGGCCCGUCCUGUUUCCGGGUGGAUCGCUCGAGCGCGGGGGUAACUUCGCGCCUAGACGAAUGGUUGCCGAUCCCGGAAAGGCUCACACCGGCCUUCCGGGGGAACAGAACCCGGCUUACAGAUCGGCCCGGAUU